RNAcentral lists this transfer RNA (71 nucleotides) under Lactoria fornasini (thornback cowfish). Its description in RNAcentral is "tRNA-Ile". It matches the Rfam family "tRNA". From Rfam's summary of the family: Transfer RNA (tRNA) molecules are approximately 80 nucleotides in length. Their secondary structure includes four short double-helical elements and three loops (D, anti-codon, and T loops). Further hydrogen bonds mediate the characteristic L-shaped molecular structure. tRNAs have two regions of fundamental functional importance: the anti-codon, which is responsible for specific mRNA codon recognition, and the 3' end, to which the tRNAs corresponding amino acid is attached (by aminoacyl-tRNA synthetases). tRNAs cope with the degeneracy of the genetic code in two manners: having more than one tRNA (with a specific anti-codon) for a particular amino acid; and 'wobble' base-pairing, i.e. permitting non-standard base-pairing at the 3rd anti-codon position. Lineage: Eukaryota; Metazoa; Chordata; Actinopteri; Tetraodontiformes; Ostraciidae. The record is from RNAcentral.
GGCGCUGUGCCUGAACUCAAAGGGCCACUUUGAUAGAGUGAAUUAUGGGGGUUAAAGUCCCCCCAGCUCCU